This is a ribosomal RNA of 314 nucleotides. It matches the Rfam family "Bacterial large subunit ribosomal RNA", at positions 2612 to 2925 of the family's 2925-position model.
CAGAACGUCGUGAGACAGUUCGGUCCCUAUCCGUCGUGGGCGUAGGAAAUUUGAGAGGAGCUGUCCUUAGUACGAGAGGACCGGGAUGGACAUACCUCUGGUGUACCAGUUGUCGUGCCAACGGCAUAGCUGGGUAGCUAUGUGUGGACGGGAUAAGUGCUGAAAGCAUCUAAGCAUGAAGCCCCCCUCAAGAUGAGAUUUCCCAACUUCGGUUAUAAGAUCCCUCAAAGAUGAUGAGGUUAAUAGGUUCGAGGUGGAAGCAUGGUGACAUGUGGAGCUGACGAAUACUAAUCGAUCGAAGACUUAAUCAAAUU